GGUCCCACGUGUGGCAACUAAGACCCAAUGCAGCCAGAUAAAUAAAUAUCUUAAAAACUCAAGCAAACUGGAUGUUUGUCUUAUAACCUGUCAGAGGAAACUAAU
Bison bison bison is the source of this 105-nucleotide small nucleolar RNA. The record is from Ensembl. Lineage: Eukaryota; Metazoa; Chordata; Mammalia; Artiodactyla; Bovidae.